CCUACGGGAGGCAGCAGUGAGGAAUAUUGGUCAAUGGGCGCGAGCCUGAACCAGCCAAGUAGCGUGAGGGAUGACUGCCCUACGGGUUGUAAACUGCUUUUAUAAAGGAAUAAAGUGAGCCACGUGUGCCGUUUUGUAUGUACUUUAUGAAUAAGGAUCGGCUAACUCCGUGCCAGCAGCCGCGGUAAUACGGAGGAUCCGGGCGUUAUCCGGAUUUAUUGGGUUUAAAGGGAGCGUAGAUGGGUUGUUAAGUCAGUUGUGAAAGUUUGCGGCUCAACCGUAAACUUGCAAUUGAUACUGGCAGUCUUGAGUACAGAUGAGGUAGGCGGAAUUCGUGGUGUAGCGGUGAAAUGCUUAGAUAUCACGAAGAACUCCGAUUGCGAAGGCAGCAUACCGGCGCCCAACUGACGCUGAAGCACGAAAGCGUGGGUAUCGAACGGGAUUAGAUACCCGGGUAGUC
This 460-nucleotide ribosomal RNA is filed under the name uncultured bacterium. RNAcentral's name for it is "partial 16S ribosomal RNA". It matches the Rfam family "Bacterial small subunit ribosomal RNA", at positions 338 to 795 of the family's 1533-position model. The record is from RNAcentral.